This 276-nucleotide unclassified non-coding RNA is filed under the name plant metagenome. Its description in RNAcentral is "partial contains 5.8S ribosomal RNA, internal transcribed spacer 2, and large subunit ribosomal RNA". The record is from RNAcentral.
CACGGAGCACGCACACACUCCUCAGCGAGCUCUGCGCGUGCUGGUCGCGGAUGACAACGCCGAUGCAGUCGCGAGUCUUGCGCUCGUGCUCGAGAUGAAGGGUCACGACGUACGCGCCGCGCAUGACGGUAUCGAGGCCGUGCAGAUGGCGGAGUCUUUCGACCCACACGUGGCGAUUCUGGACAUCGGCAUGCCGCUAUUGGACGGCUAUGAAGUCUGCCGGCGCUUGCGCGCACAAUCUCGCGGGCGGGAGAUGCUGAUCAUUGCACUCACCGG